RNAcentral lists this long non-coding RNA (1592 nucleotides) under Nicotiana tabacum (common tobacco). RNAcentral describes it as "long non-coding RNA (NTAB_LNC003089)". Lineage: Eukaryota; Viridiplantae; Streptophyta; Magnoliopsida; Solanales; Solanaceae. The record is from RNAcentral.
CGUGCUUCAGGCAUUGAGCCUUAACUAGUACAGUGUACAUUAAAUUUGACAUAAGGCAUAAGCAAGGGUACUUUAAAGACCCCCUCUGACCUAUCUAUUUGGAAAUAAGGUUACAAACCUGGAUUCUAAAAUUCUUCCUACUAUUUUGGAUCUCAAAUAUACACCAUUACAAUGCAAAUAGUCAAGAUUAUCACAGCCUAUGAUAGUAUCUCUUCUUCCAUGUUAAAAGUGCAAUAAACAAGCAAGGCUUAUCUGUUAUCUUGAGGAAUGGUAUUCACUUUGGGAGGUGUGAUGAACAAAACAAUUUCAGCUCCAUAAUGUGAAAGCAUCAGUCAUCAGAACUAUAAUCACUGGAUUCUUGCAACAUCUCUGGAGCAGCACAGCAGAAUGAUUCCUUGUCUUUGAGAAAAAGACAGCUCCCAUCGGAGUUCCAUUUCAGAUCAAUUACAGCAAAUUGAGGCAAUGGAACAUUUAUGCAAUAAGCACCAGAAGGUGUCCACAUGUAUAAGUGGGAGCUUCCAGUACAUAAAACCAAACGUGGACAUGUGGGAUCCCAGGCUGCAGCUCGGAUGGAAUCUUUUUGAAUUAAGAUGGCGGCUAGCUCAAGAUGGUUUAUGUCCCAUAUCCAGAGUACAGUAGGCAUGCUAUCAUUGCGAGUGCAAACAUAUUGGCUAUCGCAGCUCCAUGACAUGAGGCCUGCAAUUAAUUUUCACAUAUGACAGUUAACAAGGUACUCACUUAUGGGACUUGAGAGUAGUUUCUCUUAAGGAAGAUUCCAAAAAUAACCACCCAAAACAAGCUUCUGCUUGUGGAUCUUAGAUAGAUAAAUUCAGAGAGGUUUUGUAUUGAUCCUUGACCAGAGGCGGAUUCAUAGAGUUAAAUAUGAGGCACGUGAACCCAUGAUCUCUCCACAAAAUUAAAUAUUUUAUGUAAAUAUUUUUUUAAAUUAGUAUAAUAUUAACUGUUGGCACUCAUACUCUAAAAAGGUUGAAUGGUGCACUUGGUUUAAGGUUGAGUUAUUUUACCAAGAGAAAGAGGGGAUCAAUUCCCACUUAAUACAUUUUUUCCUCUUUUUUUUAAGUAGCGCACCCAUAUACUAGAAAUCUUAGAUCCGCCUCUGUCCUUGACGAUGAAGAUACUAGGCUGAUACAGCUUACUUUGACUGAGAUCAGAUUCUCACCAAACAGGCAGCUAACAGUCCUCAUUAAGAUAUUAGAACAUUAUCAUCUACAACUUAUUGCUCAAGCCAAUAAAUUUUAUAGAGGUUUGAAAUUGUUAAGAAAGAAAACAAGAAAUUGGAACUACAUGGCCACUAAAAAGAUAAUAAAUUUUCAAGAUCUCCUAUACGAACAUCCGAUCAUUUAACUUCAGUAAACAUUUGCCAUACGUGGAGUGACAUUCAUAAAUAAACAGGAACAGUUAAAGAGUAGGAAGACAAAAGAUAGUGAUGAUAUAUUUCUCACAUUACAAAAUAUUGGAACCAAAGACUUACUGAUUCCUUGCUUGGGAUUUGGCUUAUCUGCAGGAGGUUUCUGAGAAGGGAGACUGAUAGGUAUCUCCAAAACAUUGUACCUGACUUGAAUAUGUGACUC